RNAcentral lists this ribosomal RNA (827 nucleotides) under uncultured bacterium. RNAcentral describes it as "bacterial SSU rRNA". It matches the Rfam family "Bacterial small subunit ribosomal RNA", at positions 8 to 849 of the family's 1533-position model. The record is from RNAcentral.
AGAGUUUGAUCAUGGCUCAGAAUGAACGUUGGCGGCGUGGAUUAGGCAUGCAAGUCGAACGGGCCUGGUUUUCGGAUCAGGUCAGUGGCGCAAGGGUGAGUAAGGCGACGGCAACCAACCCCAUGGUUGGGCAUAGCCGCGGGAAACUGCGGGUAAUUCCCAGCGAUGUUCGCUCUGGGCAUCCGGAGUGAACCAAAGCUUCGGCGCCGUGGGACGGACCGUCGUGGUAUUAGGUUGUUGGCGGGGUAACGGCCCACCAAGCCUGUGAUGCCUACCGGGCGUGCGAGCGUGGCCCGGCACACUGGGACUGAGACACUGCCCAGACUCCUACGGGAGGCUGCAGUCGAGAAUCUUCGGCAAUGGGCGCAAGCCUGACCGAGCGACGCCGCGUGGAGGAUGAAGGCCUUCGGGUUGUAAACUCCUGUCGAGGGGGAGGAAGGCGCAAGCUUGACCGAUCCCUGGAGGAAGCACGGGCUAAGUUCGUGCCAGCAGCCGCGGUAAGACGAACCGUGCGAACGUUAUUCGGAAUCACUGGGCUUAAAGCGCGUGUAGGCGGAUGGGGACGUCGGUUGCUGAAAGCCCCCGGCUCAACCGGGGAACGGGCACCGAAACGCCCCGUCUGGAGGAACGUAGGGGGACCUGGAACUUCCGGUGGAGCGGUGAAAUGCGUUGAGAUCGGAAGGAACGCCCGUGGCGAAAGCGAGUCCUGGACGUUUACUGACGCUGAGACCCGAAGCUAGGGGAGCGAACGGGAUUAGAUACCCCGGUAGUCCUAGCUGUAACGAUGGGCACUGGGUAGGGGGCUCGUCGAUGGGCUCUCUUGCCGC